This is a long non-coding RNA of Girardinichthys multiradiatus, 433 nucleotides long. RefSeq lists it as uncharacterized. The transcript has 2 exons. The record is from RefSeq and is a predicted model, not a curated record. Lineage: Eukaryota; Metazoa; Chordata; Actinopteri; Cyprinodontiformes; Goodeidae.
GUCAUGUUUUUGGACUGUGGGAGGACGUUGGGGUACCCAGAAAGAACCCAUGCACGCACGAGGAGAACAUGCAAACCCCAUGCAGAAGGACCCUUGGCCGGGAGUGGAACUCAGGACCGUCUUGCAUCAAGGCAACUGUAGAAAAGGCCCCAAAGUCACCAGUUAUAGUACUCAGUUAUUGCUAAAGUGCUUCUAGUUAACUGGUAAUCAGAAUAGGGUCUAUCGUUUCAGGGUGAGCUCGCUCAGGGGGUUGGUCGCAGUGUUAGUGACGUCACUGUUUAACUUCGUGUAAGAAAUCGAAUGAGAGGCUACAGUUGUGGGAGACCCGAAUACUAGUUAGCGUAACGUGUGCGUGAAUGACAAGAAACCACACAUACACAUACAAAUAUCCUCUCCUCAUAUGUUUCGUGGAAAUAAAGAGAAGAAGAAAUUA